Long non-coding RNA from Ornithodoros turicata, 871 nucleotides. RefSeq lists it as uncharacterized. Lineage: Eukaryota; Metazoa; Arthropoda; Arachnida; Ixodida; Argasidae. The record is from RefSeq and is a predicted model, not a curated record. The transcript has 3 exons.
GUUAUCUCGCACUAAAAAUUGAUAAAUGUUGUGACUCUAUUUUCCCCCUUGGAGCUGGAGUAAACAGAAUUCCUCUGUUGUGGAAGGUUCACCUGAAGGUGUCCCAAUCUCCAAAGUGCAUAUCAUUCCGAUAUGGCCUGUUAUACUUUCCAUUGAAAUCAGUUGCAUUUGCACUAUAGGAAGGCCUCCUGUCUGCAAAAUUGCAAUGCUCUACAGUUUACAAUUCAUCAAAGAGGUCACAUUUCACAGUCUUUCCAGACAAAUGUACCUUUCACUAGUCAAAGCGGUGUCAAAAUUUUCACCAGUAACAGUUUCCUGCUCGCACAGCUGAAGGCUGUACAUAAAUGGAUCCCUUUUUUGCACUCUCUUGGUAGGUAAUAUACGGGUGCACUUUGUUCCUGCAGAAAUUUUCAUCUCGUCGAGCUCUUUUCGACCAUCUGCUAUCACAUGAAGAUUUUACAAGUGGUGUUCCUUGCACCAUAGAGGGACGUAAUGCUGCUUCUAAGAACUAUAGAACCAAUUCCUCCAGGUGUCAUCCUGACGAAAUGCCAACACAUUCAACACAAAAAGUAUUGUCUCAAAAGUUUUGCUCUCUGACUUCUUGCAGCCAGCAGUGUGGACAGUGAGGAAGCACAUAUUGCACGCCGAAAACAUCACCUCAUCACAGAUGCAUCGUGCACUGACACUAUCUUGUGGUCUCUAGAGACGAGUACAACCCGUGCUAUGGGAAACUGGUACACAUCUUUGUGGAAACUGGCCCGGAGGUGAUGCCAAUGUUUCUUUUUCGCAUAACGCCAUCAAGCUUCCUACUAGACCUCAGGCUAUACCAUCUUGAAUCUCAGAAUAUCACUGCUCAACCAUGAUUAUAGAG